Molecule: ribosomal RNA, 2840 nt
Filed under: Salmonella enterica subsp. enterica serovar Enteritidis
Lineage: Bacteria; Pseudomonadati; Pseudomonadota; Gammaproteobacteria; Enterobacterales; Enterobacteriaceae
Description: bacterial LSU rRNA
Rfam family: Bacterial large subunit ribosomal RNA
Source: RNAcentral
GGGUUGUGAGGUUAAGCGACUAAGCGUACACGGUGGAUGCCCUGGCAGUCAGAGGCGAUGAAGGGCGUGCUAAUCUGCGAUAAGCGCCGGUAAGGUGAUAUGAACCGUUAUAACCGGCGAUACCCGAAUGGGGAAACCCAGUGUGAUUCGUCACACUAUCAUUAACUGAAUCCAUAGGUUAAUGAGGCGAACCGGGGGAACUGAAACAUCUAAGUACCCCGAGGAAAAGAAAUCAACCGAGAUUCCCCCAGUAGCGGCGAGCGAACGGGGAGGAGCCCAGAGCCUGAAUCAGCAUGUGUGUUAGUGGAAGCGUCUGGAAAGGCGCGCGAUACAGGGUGACAGCCCCGUACACAAAAGCGCAUGUGCUGUGAGCUCGAUGAGUAGGGCGGGACACGUGGUAUCCUGUCUGAAUAUGGGGGGACCAUCCUCCAAGGCUAAAUACUCCUGACUGACCGAUAGUGAACCAGUACCGUGAGGGAAAGGCGAAAAGAACCCCGGCGAGGGGAGUGAAAAAGAACCUGAAACCGUGUACGUACAAGCAGUGGGAGCNNNNNNNNNNNNNNNNNNNNGGGCGUUAAGUUGCAGGGUAUAGACCCGAAACCCGGUGAUCUAGCCAUGGGCAGGUUGAAGGUUGGGUAACACUAACUGGAGGACCGAACCGACUAAUGUUGAAAAAUUAGCGGAUGACCUGUGGCUGGGGGUGAAAGGCCAAUCAAACCGGGAGAUAGCUGGUUCUCCCCGAAAGCUAUUUAGGUAGCGCCUCGUGAAUUCAUCUCCGGGGGUAGAGCACUGUUUCGGCUAGGGGGCCAUCCCGGCUUACCAACCCGAUGCAAACUGCGAAUACCGGAGAAUGUUAUCACGGGAGACACACGGCGGGUGCUAACGUCCGUCGUGAAGAGGGAAACAACCCAGACCGCCAGCUAAGGUCCCAAAGUCAUGGUUAAGUGGGAAACGAUGUGGGAAGGCCCAGACAGCCAGGAUGUUGGCUUAGAAGCAGCCAUCAUUUAAAGAAAGCGUAAUAGCUCACUGGUCGAGUCGGCCUGCGCGGAAGAUGUAACGGGGCUAAACCAUGCACCGAAGCUGCGGCAGCGACACUGUGUGUUGUUGGGUAGGGGAGCGUUCUGUAAGCCUGCGAAGGUGGCCUGUGAGGGUUGCUGGAGGUAUCAGAAGUGCGAAUGCUGACAUAAGUAACGAUAAAGCGGGUGAAAAGCCCGCUCGCCGGAAGACCAAGGGUUCCUGUCCAACGUUAAUCGGGGCAGGGUGAGUCGACCCCUAAGGCGAGGCCGAAAGGCGUAGUCGAUGGGAAACGGGUUAAUAUUCCCGUACUUGGUGUUACUGCGAAGGGGGGACGGAGAAGGCUAUGUUGGCCGGGCGACGGUUGUCCCGGUUUAAGCGUGUAGGUGUGUGUUCCAGGUAAAUCCGGUUCACUUUAACACUGAGGCGUGACGACGAGGCACUACGGUGCUGAAGCAACAAAUGCCCUGCUUCCAGGAAAAGCCUCUAAGCAUCAGGUAACAUCAAAUCGUACCCCAAACCGACACAGGUGGUCAGGUAGAGAAUACCAAGGCGCUUGAGAGAACUCGGGUGAAGGAACUAGGCAAAAUGGUGCCGUAACUUCGGGAGAAGGCACGCUGACACGUAGGUGAAGUGAUUUACUCAUGGAGCUGAAGUCAGUCGAAGAUACCAGCUGGCUGCAACUGUUUAUUAAAAACACAGCACUGUGCAAACACGAAAGUGGACGUAUACGGUGUGACGCCUGCCCGGUGCCGGAAGGUUAAUUGAUGGGGUCAGCGCAAGCGAAGCUCCUGAUCGAAGCCCCGGUAAACGGCGGCCGUAACUAUAACGGUCCUAAGGUAGCGAAAUUCCUUGUCGGGUAAGUUCCGACCUGCACGAAUGGCGUAAUGAUGGCCAGGCUGUCUCCACCCGAGACUCAGUGAAAUUGAACUCGCUGUGAAGAUGCAGUGUACCCGCGGCAAGACGGAAAGACCCCGUGAACCUUUACUAUAGCUUGACACUGAACAUUGAGCCUUGAUGUGUAGGAUAGGUGGGAGGCUUUGAAGUGUGGACGCCAGUCUGCAUGGAGCCGACCUUGAAAUACCACCCUUUAAUGUUUGAUGUUCUAACGUGGACCCGUUACCCGGGUUGCGGACAGUGUCUGGUGGGUAGUUUGACUGGGGCGGUCUCCUCCUAAAGAGUAACGGAGGAGCACGAAGGUUGGCUAAUCCUGGUCGGACAUCAGGAGGUUAGUGCAAUGGCAUAAGCCAGCUUGACUGCGAGCGUGACGGCGCGAGCAGGUGCGAAAGCAGGUCAUAGUGAUCCGGUGGUUCUGAAUGGAAGGGCCAUCGCUCAACGGAUAAAAGGUACUCCGGGGAUAACAGGCUGAUACCGCCCAAGAGUUCAUAUCGACGGCGGUGUUUGGCACCUCGAUGUCGGCUCAUCACAUCCUGGGGCUGAAGUAGGUCCCAAGGGUAUGGCUGUUCGCCAUUUAAAGUGGUACGCGAGCUGGGUUUAGAACGUCGUGAGACAGUUCGGUCCCUAUCUGCCGUGGGCGCUGGAGAACUGAGGGGGGCUGCUCCUAGUACGAGAGGACCGGAGUGGACGCAUCACUGGUGUUCGGGUUGUCAUGCCAAUGGCACUGCCCGGUAGCUAAAUGCGGAAGAGAUAAGUGCUGAAAGCAUCUAAGCACGAAACUUGCCCCGAGAUGAGUUCUCCCUGAGACUUAGAGUCUCCUGAAGGAACGUUGAAGACGACGACGUUGAUAGGCCGGGUGUGUAAGCGCAGCGAUGCGUUGAGCUAACCGGUACUAAUGAACCGUGAGGCUUAACCUUACAACGCCGAAG